RNAcentral lists this ribosomal RNA (848 nucleotides) under uncultured marine bacterium. Its description in RNAcentral is "bacterial SSU rRNA". It matches the Rfam family "Bacterial small subunit ribosomal RNA", at positions 38 to 872 of the family's 1533-position model. The record is from RNAcentral.
GGGGCAGCGGGGGAUAAUGCAGUCGAAGGAGACACUUAGCUUGCUUUGUAGUUUGAGUGGCGAACGGGUGAGUAACACGUGAGCAACCUGCCCAGAAGCGGGGGAUAGCUCGGGGAAACUCGAAUUAAUACCGCAUGUGAUCGUAUGUAGCAUUGCAUAACGAUUAAAGGUGCCUUCGGGUGCCACUUCUGGAUGGGCUCGCGGCCUAUCAGCUAGAUGGUGAGGUAACGGCUCACCAUGGCGACGACGGGUAGCUGGUCUGAGAGGACGAUCAGUCACACUGGAACUGAGACACGGUCCAGACACCUACGGGUGGCAGCAGUCGAGAAUCAUUCGCAAUGGGGGAAACCCUGACGGUGCGACGCCGCGUGGAGGAUGACGGCCCUCGGGUUGUAAACUCCUGUCAUCGAAGAGUAAGGCUUGUUAGUGAACAGCUAGCAAGAUUGAUAGUAUUCGAAGAGGAAGGGACGGCUAACUUCGUGCCAGCAGCCGCGGUAAUACGAAGGUCCCAAGCGUUGUUCGGAAUCACUGGGCGUAAAGGGAGCGUAGGCGGCGAGGUAAGUCAGAUGUGAAAUUCCGGGGCUCAACCUCGGGACGGCAUCCGAUACUGCCUUGCUAGAGUGGUGGAGGGGCAUCUGGAAUUCACGGUGUAGCAGUGAAAUGCGUAGAUAUCGUGAGGAACACUAGUGGCGAAGGCGAGAUGCUGGACACCAACUGACGCUGAGGCUCGAAGGCCAGGGUAGCGAAAGGGAUUAGAUACCCCUGUAGUCCUGGCAGUAAACGGUGCACGUUUGGUGUGAGCAGGUUCGACCCUGUUCGUGCCGGAGUUAACGCGUUAAACGUGCCGC